AAUUUUCAGCCCUAUACUAA
This 20-nucleotide small nuclear RNA is filed under the name Arabidopsis thaliana (thale cress). RNAcentral's name for it is "snRNA_19267". The record is from RNAcentral. Lineage: Eukaryota; Viridiplantae; Streptophyta; Magnoliopsida; Brassicales; Brassicaceae.